CUGGAACCCCUGGGCUCAAGCGAUCCACUCGCUUCAGCUUCUCAAAGUGCUGGGAUUACAGGCGUGAGCCACAGCACCCAGGCUUCAGCUCUCUUAAGGAGGAACAUAUCAUCUGAGACAAACCUGAAAUGCCAAACCAAACUGAGUUAGCCCCUCUCUGUCUGCUGUAUAUAUUGGAGUAAUAAUCUAUUUGUCUUGAUAAAGGGAUUACAUGCUUGAAUUGCAAAAACCUUUCUUUCUUUUGGGUUGCCCAGUGUGCAGGACUAAGAGUUAUUUCGAUAAAUUUUGCACCAGGCUGACUGUCUCUCUGUGGGGUCGGGGGAGUUUUCAGGGUCUCACGUCUUGCAGGGAAGGUUUGGUUGUGAGAUCGAGAAUAACAGAAGCAGUGGAGCAUUCUGGAAAUAUUACUAUGAUGGAAAGGAAUACAUUGAAUUCAACAAAGAAAUCCCAGCCUGGGUCCCCUUCGACCCAGCAGCCCAGAAUACCAAGCAGAAGUGGGAGGCAGAACCAGUCUACGUGCAGCGGGCCAAGGCUUACCUGGAGGAGGAGUGCCCUGCGACUCUACGGAAAUACCUGAAAUACAGCAAAAAUAUCCUGGACCGGCAAGAUCCUCCCUCUGUAGUGGUCACCAGCCACCAGGCCCCAGGAGAAAAGAAGAAACUCAAGUGCCUGGCCUACGACUUCUACCCAGGGAAAAUUGAUGUGCACUGGACUCGGGCCGGCGAGGUGCAGGAGCCUGAGUUAUGGGGAGAUGUUCUUCACAAUGGAAAUGGCACUUACCAGUC
RNAcentral lists this small RNA (785 nucleotides) under Pongo abelii (Sumatran orangutan). Its description in RNAcentral is "retained intron". The record is from RNAcentral. Lineage: Eukaryota; Metazoa; Chordata; Mammalia; Primates; Hominidae.